RNAcentral lists this long non-coding RNA (1541 nucleotides) under Ananas comosus (pineapple). Its description in RNAcentral is "long non-coding RNA (ACOM_LNC018203)". The record is from RNAcentral. Lineage: Eukaryota; Viridiplantae; Streptophyta; Magnoliopsida; Poales; Bromeliaceae.
AUGGCUACUAUACUAUUAUGAGUAUUGGAGACCUCGUACUCAUAAGUUGUUUUCAAUGAUGGAGCUUCCGAAUCGACGAUCCACUCCGUUAAAUAUGAUGUAGACUAUUUGAAACUGCUAGAAAAUAAAUUUCGUAAAUUUUUGAAAUCACAAUAAAGUCCAUUAAAUGGGCAUAAAAUGAAUGGUCAAAAUCGAGUGACGUUUUAAAAAAGGAUGAUCGGAUUCUUCAAUUCAAGAUCGGAGUUAUUGAUCUUUAUCUAUGUAGUGAAUAGAAUUUUUUAUCAAAAAUUCAACAAAUUCCGAUUCUUUUACACCGUUAAACUAGCAAGUAUCCCAUACCGGCCGUUAAAAAUUGUCAAAUUUGUGACCUCUUGAUCGUAAGGUAAAUGAUGUCGAAAAAUUAUAAAAUUUGAUUUCUAGAAAUUUUAAAUGCUGUAAAUAACGUUUAACGGUAUGGAUCGUCGAUUCGCAAGCUCUAUCAUCGAAAACAACUUAUGAGUACGAGGGCGAUUGUACUCAUAAUAGUAUAGUAGCCGGACCCUAUAUAUAUAUAUAUAUAUAUAUAUAUAUAUAUAUAUUGAGUACAGCUAAUAUCGGAAGUAUUGAAAACCUGGUACUUCUGACUUUUUGGCUCUUAGAUCAGUCUCUUUAAUCAUUUAUAACAUUUGAAUUAAUACGAUUAUCCUAUGGGGACCACUCAACCCUAGGGGUAUACUACUCAACCCUAGGGUGACCACAAUCAUUCUUGUCGUACAAUUCUUGAUUCAAGGGUCAAAAAAUUGAAAGUAUCAAAUUCUCUAUACUUCCAAUAGCAUAUUUAUUACCUCUACACUAUAUCUACUAUGCUCUUAUGAGUACGAUCGUUUUCGUACUCAUAAGUUAUUUUCGAUGAUGGAGCUUUCGAAUCGAUGAUCCACUCUGUUAAAUAUAAUAUAUCUAGAGUAUUUGAAACUUCUAAAAAAUUUAAAUUUCGUAAUUUUUCAAAAUCAUAAUAAAGUCUAUCAAGCAGGCAUAAAAUGAACGGUUAAAAUCGAACGACAUUCUAAGAAUGGAUGAUCGGAUCCUUCAAUUUAAGAUCGGAGUUAUUGAUCUUUAUCUAGGCAGUGAAUAGAAUUUUCUAAAAGUUAAAAAUUGUCAAUUUUGUGAACUUUCGAUCGUAAGAUAAAUGAUGUCGAAAAAUUAUGAAAUUUGAUUUCUAAAAGUUUUAAAUGCUCUAAAUAAUGUUUAACAGUAUGGAUCAUCGAUUCGGAAGCUUUAUCAUCGAAAACGAUUUAUGAGUACAAGAGCGAUCGUACUCAUAAAAGUAUAGUAGUCGGACUCUCUCUCUCUUUAUAUAUAUAGAGAGAGAGUUGAGCUGGAAUGCUAUGCUAUUAGUAGCAAACGAGCUCCAUUGCCACCCAUUUAUUUUCGAUGAUAGAGUCUCUAAAUCGAUGAUUGGCACCGUUGAACAUGUUCUAUACCACUUGAAGUAUGCAGAAGCCAAAUUUCAAAUUUUUUCGACAUCAUUGACCUAAUGAUCAAAGGGCUUCAAAAGAGUUAAU